Molecule: ribosomal RNA, 440 nt
Filed under: uncultured bacterium
Lineage: Bacteria
Description: partial 16S ribosomal RNA
Rfam family: Bacterial small subunit ribosomal RNA
Source: RNAcentral
CCUACGGGAGGCAGCAGUUGGGAAUAUUGCUCAAUGGGGGAAACCCUGAAGCAGCAACGCCGCGUGGAGGAUGAAGGUUUUCGGAUUGUAAACUCCUUUUGUUAGAGAAGAUAAUGACGGUAUUUAACCAAUAAGCAUCGGCUAACUCCGUGCCAGCAGCCGCGGCAAUACGGAGGGUGCAAGCGUUACUCGGAAUCAUUGGGCGUAAAGAGCGCGUAGGCGGGAGAGUAAGUCAGAUGUGAAAUCCCAUGGCUUAACCAUAGAACUGCAUUUGAAACUGGUAGUCUAGAGUAUGGGAGAGGUAGGUGGAAUUUAUGGUGUAGGGGUAAAAUCCGUAGAGAUCAAGAAGAAUACUGAAUGCGAAGGCGGCCUACUAGAACAUAACUGACGCUGAGGCGCGAAAGCGUGGGGAGCAAACAGGAUUAGAUACCCGUGUAGUC